This 235-nucleotide long non-coding RNA is filed under the name Numida meleagris (helmeted guineafowl). RNAcentral describes it as "lncRNA (ENSNMEG00000011942.1)". Lineage: Eukaryota; Metazoa; Chordata; Aves; Galliformes; Numididae. The record is from RNAcentral.
GUUAUUUUUUACUCUUUUUCUCUUUGAACUGCAGCUAAACAUCGUCUAAUUUCAACGAUCAAUAUUGCUUGAGUGCCUUAAGGCAAACCUCACAUGCUUUCUAUCUUUCCAGCACAGCUAAUGGAAAAGUAACAGACCUUAAAAUAAAUGGGCGUACAGAGGAUGUGCUGUCCUGUCCUGAGGAUUUGUGAAGUUAUGUGAUGUGAGACCAGCAGGCAGCACCUUUCAGGCUGUG